RNAcentral lists this ribosomal RNA (816 nucleotides) under Triticum aestivum (bread wheat). Its description in RNAcentral is "partial small subunit ribosomal RNA". The record is from RNAcentral. Lineage: Eukaryota; Viridiplantae; Streptophyta; Magnoliopsida; Poales; Poaceae.
AUGAACAUUGCACUCCUGACCCGUUGGCUCUGGCGCAUUGCUAAUGGCGAUGGAGGCCUUUGGUUCACCAUCAUCCGGAACAAGUACCUUCGGGGCCAGCCACUCACAUUCUGUCAGCGCUUUGGCGGCUCCCAGUUUUGGCAGGCCGUCAUCAAGCUGCUACCUGUACUCCGCAUUGGCACGUCCAUCUCGUUUGGUACUGGGUCCUCGACCCUGUUCUGGUUUGAUCGGUGGAUCGGCGACCUUCCCCUGGUCGCGCGAUUUCCGGAACUCUUCGCCAUUGCGAUUGGCCCUCGGGUCUCUGUCGAGGCGGCCCUUAUUGACUUAGGGCGCAUCGCCUUCUGUCGCCCCUUCGGCCCACCUGAAGUGGCCGCUAGGGAUGCCCUCCUCCUGGACAUCGCCCUCCUCCCGAUGAACGUCGCCGACACCCCGGACGCCAUCUCUUGGCGACUGGAGCCCUCCGGCUGCUUCUCCACCAAAUCCCUCUAUGCAGCCAUCGCCCCCUCGACGGCCCCUGAGUCCUUUAGUUUGAUUUGGGGCAUCCGCUUGCCCAUGAAAAUCAUGAUCUUCCUAUGGCAAUGGAUCCGCGGCCGCCUUUCAUCCGGCGUGGAGGUCCUUAAGCGUAAUGGUCCUGGAGACGGGAUUUGUCCCCUGUGCGGCACGGUGGAGGAUGUGAACCAUAUCUUCUUCACUUGCUCCACGGCCCAGUUUCUAUGGUCCUGUUUCCGCGAGACGGUCGGUGGCCAGUGGUGCAACACCAACUUCCCUGACCUGCUUGCGGAGAUUCACGCCUCCCCCUCGCUACCGCCAUAUUAG